AGUGGAAUGACUAGGUCAUAUGGUACAUGUAUGUUUAACUUUUUAAGAAACAGCCAAGAUUUUUUUUUUUUUUCCAGAAUGGCUGCACCCUUUUGCAUCCCUUCCAGCAAU
RNAcentral lists this microRNA precursor (111 nucleotides) under Marmota monax (woodchuck). The record is from RNAcentral. Lineage: Eukaryota; Metazoa; Chordata; Mammalia; Rodentia; Sciuridae.